Notechis scutatus (mainland tiger snake) is the source of this 795-nucleotide non-coding RNA. The record is from RefSeq and is a predicted model, not a curated record. Lineage: Eukaryota; Metazoa; Chordata; Lepidosauria; Squamata; Elapidae.
AACUUUAAUUAAAAAAUAGAUUCAGAGAAGGAAGGAGGGAGCAUUUUGCCCUACUGCCAAAACUUCUCCUGAAUGAAAUUCUUAAAAUUUCACCCGCUUAAGAGAAAGUUGAGCAGCUUAAUUCUAGAAAUAGGUCUUAUUUCUGGGGAAGAAUUGCAAAAUUCUUUACUGUACUCCCAAACCCACGAGCAAAAAUGGACUGAUUCUUCCCUCUCCAUUGCCUGCACCCUGAAAAAUUAUUUGGAAUUUUUUUUUUUAAUCAGCACAUUGUUCAAAAACAUCCCUCCAUCUCCCUCACCUACACAUUGAAAAGUCAUCUAUUUUUAAAUCAGCAAUAGACUGGUCUCCAUUGAAUAUAAAAAUUAUUUCCCCACUGGCAACUCAAAACCUUGGGAAAAAAUGAAUGCUAAAUUAUUUUUUCCUUUGCUGCUUCAUUGUGCUUCUCCUUUCCCAUUUGGUGGAAAGAAUGUGAAUUCUUUACAUUGUAAAAUUUAAAAAAAAAAAGUUUAGGGUGAACCAUUCAUCAAAGCCGUUCUGCAUUUCGGAAAAUUACAGAAGAGGGGAGGCAUCGUUUAUUUAUUAAAUUUUUAUGCUGCCCAGUGUCGCUACCUCCAUCAGAAGGCUGGCGUACAAAAUUUAAUAAACAAAGAAUACAUAUAUCAUUUUAAUGUAAUCCAGAGAAAACUCUGGGAAAUGGGAUCUGGGCUGUGGGAUGGGAACAGAUAUCCUUCCUUUUAAAUAAUUCCCAAAAUUAGAAUUUUGAGAACAAAAAUGGAUAUAACUUUUAGUUAUAUC